This 214-nucleotide non-coding RNA is filed under the name Methylobacterium dankookense. Lineage: Bacteria; Pseudomonadati; Pseudomonadota; Alphaproteobacteria; Hyphomicrobiales; Methylobacteriaceae. The record is from RNAcentral.
ACGACCGGCAUCGGUCAAGGUUCUCGCCAUCGCAGGGUGGCGAGCUAAGAGGGAAUCCGGUGCGGCGCUCGCGCGCUCAGGCCGGAGCUGUCCCCGCAACUGUAAGCGGAGAGCCAUCCGUCGAACUGCGUCACUGGUGAGCGAUCACCGGGAAGGCCGGACGGAUGGUGGCGACCCGCGAGCCAGGAGACCUGCCCUGACCGUGACAUGUCUC